UACGAAGGGGGCUAGCGUUGCUCGGAUUGACUGGGCGUAAAGGGCGCGUAGGCGGUUCGUACAGUCAGACGUGAAAUUCCUGGGCUCAACCUGGGGGCUGCGUUUGAUACGUGCGGACUUGAGUGCGGAAGAGGGUCGUGGAAUUCCCGGUGUAGCGGUGGAAUGCGUAGAGAUCGGGAAGAACAUCGGUGGCGAAGGCGGCCUGCUGGGCUGUUGCUGACGCUGAGGCGCGACAGCGUGGGGAGCAAACAGG
Molecule: ribosomal RNA, 253 nt
Filed under: uncultured bacterium
Lineage: Bacteria
Description: partial 16S ribosomal RNA
Rfam family: Bacterial small subunit ribosomal RNA
Source: RNAcentral